Molecule: ribosomal RNA, 405 nt
Filed under: uncultured bacterium
Lineage: Bacteria
Description: bacterial SSU rRNA
Rfam family: Bacterial small subunit ribosomal RNA
Source: RNAcentral
CGACGAAUCUUCCGCAAUGGGCGCAAGCCUGACGGAGCAAUGCCGCGUGCGGGACGAAGUUCUUCGGAAUGUAAACCGCUGUCAGGGUUUAGCAACACAAUGAGCAAACCCAAAGGAAGGGCCGGCUAACUCUGUGCCAGCAGCCGCGGUAAUACAGAGGGCCCGAGCGUUGCGCGGAAUCACUGGGCUUAAAGGGUGCGUAGGCGGAAACUUAAGUGUCUUGUGAAAUCCCACGGCUCAACCGUGGAACCGCAGGGCAUACUGGGUUUCUUGAGGCUGGUAGGCGCCGCCGGAACUGUAGGUGUAGCGGUGAAAUGCGUAGAUAUCUACAGGAACGCCGAUGGUGAAGACGGGCGGCUGGGCCAGUUCUGACGCUGAGGCACGAAAGCGUGGGGAUCAAACAGG